GAUGAACGCUGGCGGCGUGCCUAAUACAUGCAAGUCGAGCGAACGGACGAGAAGCUUGCUUCUCUGAUGUUAGCGGCGGACGGGUGAGUAACACGUGGAUAACCUACCUAUAAGACUGGGAUAACUUCGGGAAACCGGAGCUAAUACCGGAUAAUAUUUUGAACCGCAUGGUUCAAAAGUGAAAGACGGUCUUGCUGUCACUUAUAGAUGGAUCCGCGCUGCAUUAGCUAGUUGGUAAGGUAACGGCUUACCAAGGCAACGAUGCAUAGCCGACCUGAGAGGGGGGCCGGCCACACGGGAACGGAGACAGGGUCCAAACCCCGAGGGGGGGCAGAGGUGGGGAAUCUUCCAAAAUGGGAGAAGGCCGGAGGGAGCAAGGCCGGGUGAGUGAUGAAGGUCUUCGGAUCGAAAAACUCUGUUAUGAGGGAAGAAAAUAUGUAAAAGUAACUGUGCACAUCUGGACGGUACAUAAAAAAAAAGCCACGGCUAACUCCGGG
This 497-nucleotide ribosomal RNA is filed under the name uncultured bacterium. RNAcentral's name for it is "partial 16S ribosomal RNA". It matches the Rfam family "Bacterial small subunit ribosomal RNA", at positions 28 to 507 of the family's 1533-position model. The record is from RNAcentral.